GGUAAGGGGGUAAAAUGGCUGAAUUAAGCAUUAGACUGUAAAUCUAAAGAUAAAGGUGUAAAUCCUUUUUUUACCA
RNAcentral lists this transfer RNA (76 nucleotides) under Crocidura attenuata. Its description in RNAcentral is "tRNA-Tyr". The stretch from base 9 to 76 matches the Rfam family "tRNA". From Rfam's summary of the family: Transfer RNA (tRNA) molecules are approximately 80 nucleotides in length. The record is from RNAcentral. Lineage: Eukaryota; Metazoa; Chordata; Mammalia; Eulipotyphla; Soricidae.